UAGAUACUCCAUAACCUUAUCAUACUUCAUAUCAAAAUCACUCCAUAUUUUUUAUUCUAAUUAACAGUUCAAAAUCACCUUUUUCUAGAAGGAUCAUGAUUUAAAGAUCAUGAAAUAAAGUUAAGAUGUCUCACUUCAUUAAAAGGGAAUAAUGUAUAAGCUCAAAACGUGAAAUUCAUAUUAAGUUUCGUUACAUGAGUUUUGUAUAUAAAUGACUCGAUACUAGUGCGAAAAUAAAUCAAGACAAGCAAAUCUUUCAAAAUGAAUUUCAGUUUCUUUAAAGUUGUUCUUACCACUGGAAUGUUUCUUCUCCUUUUACUUUCUGAUAUGGAAGAAGUUUUUGCUGGAUAAAUAUAUAUGAUCCUGCAUUUCAAGGAAAUGAUCAAAAUCUAAACAAUGAAACAAGUUUAGUUUUAUAAGAAAUGAAAUAAAUAUUUCUGUGUGCA
Non-coding RNA from Parasteatoda tepidariorum (common house spider), 446 nucleotides. NCBI's taxonomy places the organism in Eukaryota, Metazoa, Arthropoda, Arachnida, Araneae, Theridiidae. The record is from RefSeq and is a predicted model, not a curated record.